CACGUAGUUAGCCGUGGCUUCCUCCUCGGCUACCGUCUCGUUUCGUCACCGAAGACAGAGGUUUACAAUCCGAAAACCUUCUUCCCUCACGCGGCGUCGCUGCAUCAGAGUUCCCUCCAUUGCCCAAUAUUCCCCACUGCUGCCUCCCGUAGGAGUCUGGGCCGUGUCUCAGUCCCAAUGUGGCCGGCCAACCUCUCAGUCCGGCUACUGAUCGUCGCCUUGGUGGGCCGUUACCCCGCCAACUAGCUAAUCAGACGCGAGCUCAUCUCAGAGCGAUAAAUCUUUGACAGCCAGGGAGAUGCCUCCCAGCUGUAUCAUGCGGUAUUAGCGGCUGUUUCCAGCCGUUAUUCCCCACUCCAAGGCAGAUUGCUCACGCGUUACUCACCCGUCCGCCACUUUCCCCACCUUCACUUGGACGAAUCCUCGAUCCAAUGGUUCUCGUUCGACUUGCAUGUGUUAAGCACGCCGCCAGCGUUCAUCCUGAGCCAGGAU
This 492-nucleotide ribosomal RNA is filed under the name uncultured Oscillospiraceae bacterium. Its description in RNAcentral is "partial 16S ribosomal RNA". Lineage: Bacteria; Bacillati; Bacillota; Clostridia; Eubacteriales; Oscillospiraceae. The record is from RNAcentral.